GGCGGACGGGUGAGUAACACGUGGGCAACCUACCUAUAAGACUGGGAUAACUCCGGGAAACCGGGGCUAAUACCGGAUAAUUCAAUUCUCUGCAUAGAGGGAUGAUAAAAGAUGGCUUCGGCGAUCACUUACAGAUGGGCCCGCGGCGCAUUAGCUAGUUGGUGAGGUAAGGGCUCACCAAGGCGACGAUGCGUAGCCGACCUGAGAGGGUGAUCGGCCACACUGGGACUGAGACACGGCCCAGACUCCUACGGGAGGCAGCAGUAGGGAAUCUUCGGCAAUGGACGAAAGUCUGACCGAGCAACGCCGCGUGAGUGAGGAAGGCCUUCGGGUCGUAAAACUCUGUUGUCAGGGAAGAACAAGUACCGUUCGAAUAGGGCGGUACCUUGACGGUACCUGACCAGAAAGCCACGGCUAACUACGUGCCAGCAGCCGCGGUAAUACGUAGGUGGCAAGCGUUGUCCGGAAUUAUUGGGCGUAAAGCGCGCGCAGGCGGUCUCUUAAGUCUGAUGUGAAAGCCCACGGCUCAACCGUGGAGGGUCAUUGGAAACUGGGGGACUUGAGUACUGGAGAGGAGAGUGGAAUUCCACGUGUAGCGGUGAAAUGCGUAGAUAUGUGGAGGAACACCAGUGGCGAAGGCGGCU
RNAcentral lists this ribosomal RNA (644 nucleotides) under uncultured bacterium. RNAcentral's name for it is "bacterial SSU rRNA". It matches the Rfam family "Bacterial small subunit ribosomal RNA", at positions 97 to 726 of the family's 1533-position model. The record is from RNAcentral.